ACCCACACCUCCCAUCAGCUAGCUCGCCCCCUAAAACCCAACAAACAAACAUUCACUAAACCCAAAUACCCUUAAAAAACAAAACAAAUCAUUUUUCCCCCUUAGUAUAGGUGACAGAAAAGGAUCAAAGACGCAAUAGAAAAAGUACCGCAAGGGAAAGCUGAAAGAGAAAUGAAAUAACCCAGUAAAGAGAGAAAAAGCAAAGACUACACCUUGUACCUUUUGCAUCAUGAAUUAGUUAGAAACCUUCAAGCAAAGAGCACUUUAGUUUGAACCCCCGAAACUGGACGAGCUACUCCAAGACUGCCUUUAAGGGCUAACCCGUCUCUGUAGCAAAAGAGUGGGGAGAGCUUAGAGUAGAGGUGAUAGACCUAACGAGCCCAGUUAUAGCUGGUUGCCUAUAAAAUGAAUAGAAGUUCAGCCUUUAAAUUUCUUUAUUCAACUACAAUUAAAAUAUCCACUGAUACUAAGAAAUUCAAAGAGUUAUUCAAAGGGGGUACACCCCCUUUGAAAAAAGACACAACUUUAUUAAGGAGGCUAAAGACCAAAGACUAACAAGGCAAAUACCUUAGUAGGCCUGAAAGCAGCCAUCCACACAGAAAGCGUUAAAGCUCAAGUACCAUGCCCACCCCUCAAAUCCCGACAAUAAAAUCUUAAACCCCUUUACCCAAUAAUAGGCCAACUUAUGUAAACAUAAGAAAGAUACUGCUAACCGGAGUAAUAAGGGGCCAAGACCCCCUCCAAGGCACCUGUUUAUAUCAGAACGAACUCACACUGAAAAUUAACGCUCCCAACCAAAGAGGGCAAUGAUAGAACCAAACUAACCUAGAAAACCUCUCAAACCCACAGCGUUGACCCCACACAGGUGUGCCCAAGGAAAGACUAACAGAAAGAGAAGGAACUCGGCAAACACCGGCCCCGCCUGUUUACCAAAAACAUCGCCUCUUGCAUACUUAAACGUAUAAGAGGUCCUGCCUGCCCUGUGACCUAAUAGUUUAACGGCCGCGGUAUCCCAACCGCGCGAAGGUAGCGAAAUCACUUGUUUUUUAAAUGGAGACCAGUAUGAACGGCUUUACGAGGGCCAAACUGUCUCCUCUUUCCAGUCAAUGAAAUUGAUCUUCCCGUGCAGAAGCGGGAAUAUCCACAUAAGACGAGAAGACCCUAUGGAGCUUUAGACAAAAGACAGCCCACUUAAAAGUUCACCAGACCAAUGAAAACAACAAAGUGGCCUCCUGUCCCUAUGUCUUUGGUUGGGGCGACCAUGGAGCAACAAAAAACCUCCACGUGGAAUGGGGACUACCCCCUCAAAGCCAGAGCCACAGCUCUCACAAACAGAAAAUCUGACCAAUAAGACCCGGCAUAUAAGCCGAUCAACGGAAUGAGUUACCCUAGGGAUAACAGCGCAAUCCUCUUUUAGAGCCCAUAUCGACAAGAGGGUUUACGACCUCGAUGUUGGAUCAGGACCCCCUAAUGGUGCAGCCGCUAUUAAGGGUUCGUUUGUUCAACGAUUAAAGUCCUACGUGAUCUGAGUUCAGACCGGAGAAAUCCAGGUCGGUUUCUAUCUAUGUAAUGCUCUUUUCUCGUACGAAAGGAUCGAAAAGAGGGGGCCCAUGCUCAAAGUAAACCCCACCCCCACCUAAUGAAAUCAACUAAACUAGAAAAAAGGGCAUAAACACACCCCUAAGAAAAAGGCAA
RNAcentral lists this ribosomal RNA (1695 nucleotides) under Odontamblyopus rebecca. Its description in RNAcentral is "16S ribosomal RNA". The stretch from base 116 to 1583 matches the Rfam family "Bacterial large subunit ribosomal RNA". The record is from RNAcentral. Lineage: Eukaryota; Metazoa; Chordata; Actinopteri; Gobiiformes; Gobiidae.